This 1492-nucleotide long non-coding RNA is filed under the name Coturnix japonica (Japanese quail). RNAcentral's name for it is "lncRNA (ENSCJPG00005011120.1)". Lineage: Eukaryota; Metazoa; Chordata; Aves; Galliformes; Phasianidae. The record is from RNAcentral.
UGAAAUGAAUUAUGAUAAUGUCGAUAGAUUUAGGGGGCUUCCUUAAGGAAAAGGAAAAAAACCUCCACAGCAUUUUUCAAGGCAACAUUAGAAUAGAUAAGAGAUGGAAGCAGAGAUACACAAAACACUGAGUUGGAAGCGUCCCAUAAGGAUCUCUGGGUCCAAUCCCUUCAUGCAGCACUCUUGAAGGUCCGGGGCUGUGCUCCGCGGUUACAUAGGGAGCUGCCCUCACUUCAUGCUGCCGCUGGGUGAGGCAGAAAUAAGAAAUCUUGGGGGCACAGAACCGAGAGGAACCGCUUCCCCCCGCAGCACGUGGGGACCAUCACGCCUCACAGCAAAGCCGUCUAUUCGCCACUUCAGCAAAUGAGCGGCGGCGAAUCGAUAGCGGAUCAAUCCCGUUCGCGGUGUCACUCAGCGCACGGUGCCGCUGCACAAAAGCAGGAAGGUGGGAACCGAGCGCUCACUUCGCAGCGACCCGAGGCGAAGCGCACAACCUGAGCAUCCCUCCCGGUAGCAUCCCAGAUCUGCGGAGCGUGGGAGCUCGGGGACUGCCGGCAGUGGCCCUUGGUGGUUUCUACAGGGAUAAUUGCUGUUCAUGGAGCAUUUGUUGGAUGCAAAAGCUGAAAACCCUGUGCAGUGAGGCAAGCCAGCACAGCUCAGUGUGUGGACUUUCAGGAGCUUUUCUGCAAUAAGGAAGCAGGAAGAUCUACAAGAGAAAAAUACAUGAAGGCAUCUGUGAAGCAAAUUGCUUUUAUUAUCUACAGCAUUGAGGUGCAAGUCUUCUCUUAAAUUACAAACUGUUUCUCUGUGCAUUGGCUGCUUCAUAAAUAUAUAUAAUGCUACAUUAUUCCCAAUGGGCACCUGAUUGCCCACCGUAAGUCAUAACUUUUUUCAUAAAAUCAUCACUGAUCAUUGAAACUUGCUUUUGUUUUCAGCUUUGAGUGGGAAAGACUUGCAUGGGCAUUCCUGGUCCCUCUACUGGUUCCAGCUGCAUGAAAUCUUUUUUAAUAUAAUCUCAAUUAACAAUUGAAGCACCGUGAAAUAGCUGAAAACUCCAUUUCUAGUUUUGGAUACCAAAAUGUACUAACAAAUACUCAAACGUUCUUUGGCUUAUUUGGAAUUGCUUGAUGUAAAAUGACCUCAGGAUAUUAGGCUAUUUACUUACAAUACAAAUAGACGUUUAAACACUGACAUUUUAAAUCAUUGGACCCUAUGUGCCAAUGAAGCAAUUUACUUAACACAUGGCGAGCCACAGCUUUGUGUCAUAGUGCAGAGGCGCCAAGUCUGAAGUGGAAAUUCACCCUUCAUUGUGCUCAGUUGGCUGGUGCUGGAUUAACAGCAGGACCUAAUAAGCCAUGGACUGUUUGAAUUAAGAAUGAGAUGGCAUUCUGAGCCAGCACUGACUGUUGCCACCACCUUCCUGUAGGUACUCUAAAUUAGGGCAGUAUCACCUCAUUAUUGCUUUUAAUAAAUAUUAAUUCUCACUGAGUCA